Molecule: long non-coding RNA, 4462 nt
Filed under: Lynx pardinus (Iberian lynx)
Lineage: Eukaryota; Metazoa; Chordata; Mammalia; Carnivora; Felidae
Rfam family: tRNA (bases 3464-3548)
Source: RNAcentral
GAUCUAAAAUGGAAAUUCUUCAGGCAGAAAAUGGGCACCUAUAGUUCUCACAGAAAAAGUUGUUUUAGAGCCAAUUUUAAGGUGAGCUGCUGAGAUUUGGCAGAGGAAAAACACUUAGCCUGUCCCCACAGCUAGAAAAGGACCAUUCAUUCCCUUGGACAAUGUUAAUGAUGAGUAACUCGAGUUAGUUUUUUCUUCCUCGAAAUUUGAAUUUAUCUGUGUGAAAACUUAGUGAACGUAUCCUUGUGACGGAAGCAGAAAUGAAGCAAAAUAAGUAUUUCAAUCUUAACUCUUAUAUUUGCAACUGAAACUUAAUUUCGCCCUAUGAUUAAUUUUUUCCUUAUGACACAGGACAGUUUAUAUUGGGAUAACUGGAGAACUCUGGCACACGUAGAGGUAGCUGACUUGUGUCAGAGAAAGUUUGGCCAUAAAUUCAUGCUCUAAGUGGUUUUAGUCCUUACAGGUUUGCAUUUUCUUGAAAUAUUAUAAAUACAUGUUUUUGAAGACAUGACUCCUGAAGAAGGGAUAGUGUGUUAAGGACUGUUUUUUAAGACAGUGUUCCAAUAGCAUCUAUUUUUUCUUUCCUUUCGAUUGAAAAUUGACUUUACAUUGACUGAGGAGUCUUAAGACAAAGCAAAUAAUGGAUUUUGCCUCAUUCUGUGAGGAUCACUGCUCUAUGUAUAUUUACGUUGUAAAGGCACAUAUCUGAAUAAUUAAAUCCAUAUCAAGAAAGCACAGAGUUAGCACUCAGUAAAGGUUUUUGAAAACGAAUUUAACUAACAGUGUUUGGACGUACAAACACAUAGGAAAAACUGAUUUUAUGACUUGUGCUGGGUAUUGACUCUCUUAAUUCCAUCAUGGCUUGAUAUUGGCUGCCAAAAUGAUAUAUGUGCCUAAUAUGUUCUCACUAAACCACAUAAUUUUUGUUUUAAAAACCAGCACAAUCAAGAGAGAGACAAUUAUAUGAAAAGCACUUAUUGACGAAGAGCGUAAUGUACAAUAGAAGAGCUGGCUAAGCGUUUCUGAAAUGAAAGCCCAUUGUUUACUGAAAGAUUCUACUCUCUUUUACUGGUUUUAAUUAUUUCCAAGUUGACAAAUUGUGAUCGAUACUCUGUUAUUGGUCUGAUAAUUAACAGAUGAUGGCCUGUCUCUAUGAAUAGUAAAUGCUGGGUACUAAUUAACAUUUGUUUUGAUUACUUGGUAUUUAGUUGUCAAAGGCAGCUAUUAUAGUGGCAGAGAAUGUUAGAGGAGGGUUUUUUGUUGUUAUAGCCUUUGCUUGUUAUCAGAAAUAACUAUUUGUGUGUGUAUGUGAAAGGAUGCCUGACUUCUGUCACUGCUCACUGUAAUGUAACUACAGUAGUCUGAGAGCUCGUCCCAAAACCUUACGUGUUUCUAAUGAAUUGACGGAUGGCCUCUCAGCUUAAAGGGAGAGAGAAGGGAUCUGUAAUCAAAGUGGAGAUGGUGAGAUUCUUGAACAACGACUAACAGUGCCAAAUGUCGUCGAUGGGUCUAUCACUGAGUUAAGUUUUAGUAUAGUGUGAAGGGAUAGCAUGAAGUCUUCAGAAUUCCAGAGGUUGUGUAAUUUAUCAUUUUGUUAAAGUCUACUUAUGUUUUAUAAUCUUUUUUAAAAGUCUACUUAUUCUUUUCCAUUCAAGGGGGAGUUUCACUGGGGUUUCAAAGUGUGUGGUUAUCUGUAGAGAUGUCUAAGGGGUCACCAUGGUGGAAAUGAUUGGGAAAGGAAAAGACCAGAGAGCUGAUGUUUUCUCUUAGCUUGAAACUUUCUCAUCUGGUUUCAUAUGUUCAGAUUGGGUACUACAACUACGGGGAGAGUGUAUGGGAUUCUAGAUUUAGACUUAGCUUCAAACCUCCCUAGCAGUGCAACAUUGGACAUCAUUUGGGGAUCUAUAAGAAUGUGACUACUAUUACUUCUCUAGUUGGGUAGAUAUGAGGAUUAAGUGAGAUUAUAUAUAUUAAGGUCUAUAUCAGUCUGGGCUUUACAGAGAAACAGAACCGAUAUGAGACACAUAUAAAGAUUUUUGUUCUAAAGUAUUGGCUCACAUUGUUAUAGAGGCUGAGAAGUCACAAGAUCCAUGGUUGGCAAGCUGGAGACCCACUAGAGCUGACGGUAUAUAGAGAGUUCCAGUCUGAGUUCAAAAGCCUAGGAAACAGGAGAACCAAUGGUAUAAAUUCAAGUCCAAGUCCAAAGGGAGAAGACUGGUGUUCCAGCUUAAAGGCAGUCAGACAGCGUGAAUUCUCUCUUAUUAGCCUUUUGGUUCUUUCCAGACCUUCAACAGAUUGGAUUAGGCCCACCCACAUUGGAGAGGGCUGUCUACUUUAUUCAGUCUUCCAAUUCAAACGUUAAUCUCAUCCAAAAAGACCCUCAGACUCACUCAGAGCGAAGUUCAACCAAAUAUCUGGGUGUCCCAUGGCCCAGUUAAGUUGAUACAUAAAAUUAACCAUCACAAGGUCCUAUCAUAAUGCUUGGCACACAAUUAAGAGAAGAGACUCUUGAGGCAGACUACAUCCCUUCAAAUGCUGGCUGGGCCACCUUUUAGUAAUGUGACAUCAGGCAAGUUUAUGUAACAUUUGUGAAUGUGUCAGUUUCCUCAUCAGUAGAAUGACAGUGUUACUAAUCUCAUGCAUAUGGUUGUUGUACAGACUAAAUGAAUUGAUAAAUAUAAGGUAUAUAGUCUGGUACAUAGUCAGUGGUAUGUAUUUCCUAUUAUUAGUAAUCGUAAUUAUAAGAAGUGCUAAAUAAAUCCUAGCCAUUUUACAUUCUUUAAUUCACUCAUUUAACAUAUUCACUGAAAAUUUCGCCACAAAAUUACUCCUUAAUAUAAAAUGUAAUCAUAAAUGAGAGGGAAAAUUUUGUUUUCUAUAUUGACAGAUAAUUUUUACAGCUUGCACUGAACAGCUCCUACAUGCAGUGAAACUCACAAGGGCUAACAUGGUCUCAGGAAAGCAAGGGAUUAACGUGUGUGUGCCUUGAUUAUUGACGCAUCCUUUCUUGAGAGCUUAUUUUGAAGGGUUUGAGCUUUGAUAGUUCCUAAGGCUGUUUUAAAUUUUUUUUAAGUUUGUUUGUUUGUUUGCUUAUUUAUGCUGAGAGAGACAGAGACAGCGUGAGCAGGGGAGGGGCAGAGAGAGAGGGAGGGAGAGAGAAUCCCAAGCAGACUCCGCACCAUCAGCACAGAGCCAGAUGCAGGGCUCGGACUUGCGAAACCAGGAGAUCAUGACCCACCUUAACUGAGAGUCAAGAGUCCGACGCUUAACUGACUGAAUCACCCAGGUGCCCCUGUAAAAAAAAAAAAAAAAAAAAAAUUUUUUCUUUUAUUUGUUCCUAAGGCUGUUUUAGAUAAAGACUACACGUCUCAUAUUUUGACCAAGGGAAGCCUAAAAUAUAUUCAAAAAUUAACCUUUAAACACGUAUCUUAAUAUUUAGUCUAAAAAUUGGAUUUCUCGGGGUGCCUGGAUGGCUCAGUCGGUUGAGCGUCUGACUUCAGCUCAGGUCACGAUCUCGCGGUCCCUGAGUUCGAGCCCCGCGUCAGGCUCUGGGCUGAUGGCUCGGAGCCUGGAGCCUGCUUCCGAUUCUGUGUCUCCCUCUCUCUCUGCCCCUCCCCCAUUCAUGCUCUGUCUCUCUCUGUCUCAAAAAUAAAUAAAUGGUAAAAAAAAAAAUUUAAUUAUUUUAAAAAUUGGAUUUCUCUUGGUGUCAUUUUUCUUCCUUAACUCAACAUGUUCCAUCCGAAAGUACAAAUUUUAGUCUGGUGCCUGUUCUUAAACUCACUGACUUUUUAAUGCUGAUUGGUUAAAUACCAGAUGUGUUUAAAUGUGUAUAUGUAUUUAUUCAUAUUAACUAAAACGAGACAUAUCAGUUCGAUUUGAGUUUUGAACUCAUCUCUAUAAAAAGAGAAGUGUUUUUAAAAACUAAAAAGAAGUCAAUAUCUUAGUAGAGAGAGAGAAGAUUGGCUUGUGGUUAGGUGAACAUUCAAAUAUGUAUGAGUGUUAUAUAGCAUCUAAUGUUAUUAUGCAUGUAUUACAAUAUGUUAUAUAUAAUAAAUACAUAGUUUUUUUUUUUUUUUUUUUUUGAUCAAGGUCUUUUAUACUUAACAGCGUGUCCCUCCCAUCCUUGGGCAGGCUGGACUUUGGUUUUCCUCCUCCACUGUGCUUUUCCAGAAGGGUUUCACCGGCAACACUUAAUUAAACUUCAUUUCCUCUUUUUACGCUCCAGGUAUUAUUAUGCUGCUCUCUUCAAGAAGUAAUUUGUGCGUUGUUUAUUUGAGCUAUGAAUUUAAUCAUUUUCAUCCCACCCCAGGGCAGGGUGACUCCAAUAAGACGUAUGGACAUCUCUUUGCGGCCCAUUUUUGCCCCCAUUGUGUGUUGUUUUGCCAGAAUACUGAAGGCAAUGUUGGUCUUAUGGCCCGUCUCCAUAAAGGCGGCUCUUCUUUUUAGGACAGUGAUGAAUUUA